This 390-nucleotide ribosomal RNA is filed under the name uncultured bacterium. RNAcentral describes it as "bacterial SSU rRNA". It matches the Rfam family "Bacterial small subunit ribosomal RNA", at positions 29 to 419 of the family's 1533-position model. The record is from RNAcentral.
AUUGAACGCUGGCGGCAUGCCUUACGCAUGCAAGUCGAACGGCAGCACGGGAGCAAUCCUGGUGGCGAGUGGCGAACGGGUGAGUAAUAUAUCGGAACGUGCCCGGUCGUGGGGAUAACGUAGCGAAAGCUACGCUAAUACCGCAUACGAUCUACGGAUGAAAGCGGGGGGAUCGCAAGACCUCGCGCGAUUGGAGCGGCCGAUAUCAGAUUAGGUAGUUGGUGAGGUAAAGGCUCACCAAGCCGACGAUCUGUAGCUGGUCUGAGAGGACGACCAGCCACACUGGGACUGAGACACGGCCCAGACUCCUACGGGAGGCAGCAGUGGGGAAUUUUGGGACAAUGGGCGCAAGCCUGAUCCAGCAAUGCCGCGUGCAGGAUGAAGGCCUUC